RNAcentral lists this ribosomal RNA (253 nucleotides) under uncultured bacterium. RNAcentral describes it as "partial 16S ribosomal RNA". It matches the Rfam family "Bacterial small subunit ribosomal RNA", at positions 524 to 776 of the family's 1533-position model. The record is from RNAcentral.
UACGAGGGGUCCAAGCGUUGCUCGGAAUCAUUGGGCGUAAAGCGAGUGUAGGUGGCUUUGUAAGUCUGGAGUGAAAGCCCUGGGCCUAACCCAGGAAGUGCUUUUGAUACUGCAAAGCUUGAAUGUGGGAGAGGAUCGUGGAAUUCCAGGUGUAGUGGUGAAGUACGUAGAUAUCUGGAGGAACACCGGUGGCGAAGGCGGCGAUCUGGCCCAACAUUGACACUGAGACUCGAAAGUGCGGGGAUCAAACAGG